Molecule: ribosomal RNA, 301 nt
Filed under: uncultured bacterium
Lineage: Bacteria
Description: partial 16S ribosomal RNA
Rfam family: Bacterial small subunit ribosomal RNA
Source: RNAcentral
CAGUCGCCGCGGUAAUACGAAGGGUGCAAGCGUUAAUCGGAAUUACUGGGCGUAAAGCGUGCGUAGGCGGUGAGUUAAGUCUGCUGUGAAAUCCCCGAGCUUAACUUGGGAACUGCAUUUGAAACUGGCAAGCUAGAGUCUUGUAGAGGGGGGUAGAAUUCCAGGUGUAGCGGUGAAAUGCGUAGAGAUCUGGAGGAAUUCCGGUGGCGAAGGCGGCCCCCUGGGCCAAUACUGACGCUCAUGCACGAAAGCGUGGGGAGCAAACAGGAUUAGAUACCCCAGUAGUCCCUGUCUCUUAUAC